This 253-nucleotide ribosomal RNA is filed under the name uncultured bacterium. RNAcentral describes it as "partial 16S ribosomal RNA". It matches the Rfam family "Bacterial small subunit ribosomal RNA", at positions 524 to 776 of the family's 1533-position model. The record is from RNAcentral.
UACGUAGGGUGCAAGCGUUGUCCGGAAUUAUUGGGCGUAAAGAGCUCGUAGGCGGUUUGUCGCGUCUGCUGUGAAAACUCGGGGCUCAACCCCGAGCUUGCAGUGGGUACGGGCAGACUAGAGUGCGGUAGGGGAGACUGGAAUUCCUGGUGUAGCGGUGGAAUGCGCAGAUAUCAGGAGGAACACCGGUGGCGAAGGCGGGUCUCUGGGCCGUAACUGACGCUGAGGAGCGAAAGCAUGGGGAGCAAACAGG